Molecule: long non-coding RNA, 466 nt
Filed under: Capra hircus (goat)
Lineage: Eukaryota; Metazoa; Chordata; Mammalia; Artiodactyla; Bovidae
Description: lncRNA (ENSCHIG00000003655.1)
Source: RNAcentral
AUGAGGCGGUCAACAAAUGAAGUGAGUCAGAGACGGCCUGAUACAGAAAGGAGGCUUGCUGAGCUGGCGGUGGAGAGGGUUCCCUGGGCGCGAGAGUUUCAGGUCACAGCUGUGAAAGUGCACCCGACAUACACAUCCCGGUGCCAUGACGGACCCAGGGGCCAAGGGUCAACAAAAGCGGUCAAAACCAGCUCACGGGAGAGUCUGCUUCUCUCUGGAGAUUGCUUCUUCUCUCUCUCUUUGCCUGGUCAACUCCUGGUGAUCUCCUGGGACUCAAGACACCUGACCUUCUCAAGACGGCUUCUCUGACUUACCCUUGCUCCUCUCCUAAGGCUUGAUUUCAUAAUGCCUUGUACUGUAUAGCAAUGAUUAUGGUUGUGAUUUAACAUGAGGGCAAGGACUGUGCCCACUGCUGCUGCUCACCCCCACGUCCCCAGUGCCUAGACCAGCACUUGGCAAAAGGCAC